UACCAGCACCCCGAGUGGUCGGGACGAUUAUUGGGCCUAAAGCAUCCGUAGCCGGUUCUAUAAGUCCUCCGUUAAAUCCAUCUGCUUAACAGAUGGGCUGCGGAGGAUACUAUAGAGCUAGGAGGCGGGAGAGGCAAGCGGUACUCAGUGGGUAGGGGUAAAAUCCGUUGAUCCAUUGAAGACCACCAGUGGCGAAGGCGGCUUGCCAGAACGCGCUCGACGGUGAGGGAUGAAAGCUGGGGGAGCAAACCGGAUUAGAUACCCGGGUAGUCCCAGCUGUAAACGAUGCAGACUCGGUGAUGAAUAGGCUUAGUGCCUAUUCAGUGCCGCAGGGAAGCCGUUAAGUCUGCCGCCUGGGGAUACGGUCGCAAGACUGAAACUUAAAGGAAUUGGCGGGGAGCACCACAAGGGGUGAAGCCUGCGGUUC
RNAcentral lists this ribosomal RNA (427 nucleotides) under uncultured archaeon. Its description in RNAcentral is "bacterial SSU rRNA". It matches the Rfam family "Archaeal small subunit ribosomal RNA", at positions 474 to 903 of the family's 1478-position model. The record is from RNAcentral.